AUACGGGGGGUGCAAGCGUUAUUCGGAUUUAUUGGGCGUAAAGAGCGCGUAGGCGGCUUGGUAAGUCAGAUGUGAAAGCCCGGGGCUCAACCCCGGAAGUGCAUUUGAAACUAUCAGGCUAGAGUAUGGGAGAGGGAAGUGGAAUUCCUGGUGUAGAGGUGAAAUUCGUAGAUAUCAGGAGGAACACCGGUGGCGAAGGCGACUUCCUGGACCAAUACUGACGCUGAGGCGCGAAGGCGUGGGGAGCAAACAGGAUUAGAAACCCUAGUAGUCC
Molecule: ribosomal RNA, 274 nt
Filed under: uncultured bacterium
Lineage: Bacteria
Description: partial 16S ribosomal RNA
Rfam family: Bacterial small subunit ribosomal RNA
Source: RNAcentral